CCUACGGGAGGCAGCAGUGGGGAAUAUUGCACAAUGGGCGCAAGCCUGAUGCAGCGACGCCGCGUGAGGGAUGACGGCCUUCGGGUUGUAAACCUCUUUCAGUAGGGAAGAAGCGAAAGUGACGGUACCUGCAGAAGAAGCGCCGGCUAACUACGUGCCAGCAGCCGCGGUAAUACGUAGGGCGCAAGCGUUAUCCGGAAUUAUUGGGCGUAAAGAGCUCGUAGGCGGUUUGUCGCGUCUGCUGUGAAAGACCGGGGCUCAACUCCGGUUCUGCAGUGGGUACGGGCAGACUAGAGUGCAGUAGGGGAGACUGGAAUUCCUGGUGUAGCGGUGAAAUGCGCAGAUAUCAGGAGGAACACCGAUGGCGAAGGCAGGUCUCUGGGCUGUAACUGACGCUGAGGAGCGAAAGCAUGGGGAGCGAACAGGAUUAGAUACCCUGGUAGUCCAUGCCGUAAACGUUGGGCACUAGGUGUGGGGGACAUUCCACGUUUUCCGCGCCGUAGCUAACGCAUUAAGUGCCCCGCCUGGGGAGUACGGCCGCAAGGCUAAAACGUCAAAGGAAUUGACGG
This 569-nucleotide ribosomal RNA is filed under the name uncultured bacterium. Its description in RNAcentral is "bacterial SSU rRNA". It matches the Rfam family "Bacterial small subunit ribosomal RNA", at positions 338 to 916 of the family's 1533-position model. The record is from RNAcentral.